GACGAACGCUGGCGGCGUGCUUAACACAUGCAAGUCGAGCGGUAAGGCCCUUUCGGGGUACACGAGCGGCGAACGGGUGAGUAACACGUGGGUGACCUGCCCUCAGCUCUGGGAUAAGCCUGGGAAACCGGGGUCUAAUACUGGAUAUGACUCCAUGACGCAUGUUGUGGGGUGGAAAGCCUUGUGCGGCUGAGGAUGGGCCCGCGGCCUAUCAGCUUGUUGGUGGGGUGAGGCCUACCAAGGCGACGACGGGUAGCCGGCCUGAGAGGGCGACCGGCCACACUGGGACUGAGACACGGCCCAGACUCCUACGGGAGGCAGCAGUGGGGAA
RNAcentral lists this ribosomal RNA (331 nucleotides) under uncultured bacterium. RNAcentral describes it as "bacterial SSU rRNA". It matches the Rfam family "Bacterial small subunit ribosomal RNA", at positions 28 to 361 of the family's 1533-position model. The record is from RNAcentral.